GUGGCAGUCACGUGGGGCGUGAGUGGUUUCUGGCCGGUUCUCAGAGCGCAAUUGGUCUCCUGAGUGGCUUCGUACCUCUCUUCCCGCUGUUGUUCACAAUUCUGACGAGCUGUGCCCCUUACGUGAAUCUAGGUUUCCAUAGGUAGCUGUUGCCCAGCGAUCUUUCCAGAAAGGUUAUUUGCCGACAAAGCGGCUUUGUGUUGCAGUUUCCCACCUGUGGCAUGAUAGUUGGACGAAGCUUCAGAGAGCCUUGUGGGCUUAACUCCUCGCUUCCGAAAUUAAUAGGGAAAAGAAAAAAAGAAUGAAUGAAACGCCCCAAAGAGAGGCGGGUGACAGGACAAAUGAAUGACUCAAUGAGAACCCAAGAGGCCCAUCUCCCAGGCCCCUCCUUGAGCCUUAAUCUUGGUACUUUUUGCACCAUCACCUCACCUUGAUCGCUAGAGCUUUUCUUUUUGGAUGGAAAAGAUCUUUUUAGUUGGAUUUUGGAGACACCUAGUCAAAGAGUAUUUGAACUCAGUUUCGUUCUGCUGCGAUGUCAUUGUUUGUGGAAUGAAAAGAUUGGUGAAGAUGACAAGCAUGGAUUGGAGUUGGGUAUUUCCCUUUUCCCACAUGGAAGGCUGGAGCUGAUUGGAUUUAGAGAUUAUCCUCUCCCAGACCUGGUUGAGAUCGUAGAGGUAAAUUUCACAACAUCGUGGAGACCUGGCCAUGAUUAUGUCCUCUGGAGUUUUUUUUAACUCUCAGAAGUACCCACACUGAGCCUCCAGCAAUCUGUCAGUCACAGCUCCUGUUUUCCUGCUCCACACUGGGCCCCUGGCGGUUUCCAUUUGUUUGUCUCCACUCUGGGCACUGGGUUUUCAAAGAUUCCCUUUGAGCCACAGGAAUCCUGGUCUUUGGCUAUUGCUUUCUGGGACUUCUGACGGGUGAUCAUCACUUACUCAAUAAAAGGACUGAAAAUCCACAAAGGUUUCCCCAUGGAAUGUCAUCGAAAGAACUCCAAUAUUCCACUUUGGUAAAGUAGAGGAUGACAGGAAUACAGGUGAUGAAAAGGAUGUUAAACACACCCAAAAUGGACAAAAACAAGGCGGCCUCUCCAAACUUAGCACUGCCCAGGAGGAGCUUGAACAGAACCUGUCAAGAAAGCAGAGGGGAGGCAUGAAGGCUCGUGAGGGAUUCCAACAAGCCAGAAGGGACCAAGUGCACAUCAUCAAGCAGAGGCUGGACCACCAGACUGACAGCCACGUGACAGGUCACUUUUCCAGCUUGGAUAUCAGAAAAUAUUUACAUUCUCUAUUGUGGACCUAAAGAUAAGUAGAGCAAAAAGGAGAGCAGCUUGAACCCUCAGCCCUCCAGAAAGGGGAACCAUAUCACUUCCCUUCAAUCUUUGGAAACUACCCGGCAACAAGCUGGGAGAAGACUAAGACUAGCUUUGCAUCAGUUUGAUGGGGCUUUAAGUUCAAGAUGUAUGUUUAUCAAGCAGAAUCUUUCAGGGACUGAAAGCUGCUGGGACUCAGAUUUCCCAUGCUCUUUGAACUCUUGCAGAUGAGAGGAGGGAAAUUCACCAUAAUCUGGACUGGGAAGCUCCUAGAUAACAGGUCACAUACUUCUGAGAAGAGUGAUGGGUAUUAAAGAGACCCACAGCUGCACAGAUGACACAAUUCCACCACUAACACCAGCUCACUGGUCUUUGGUUUCAAGGCUGGCCUAGUGCUGAGGACUUCUAACAAAAUUCUGGUCUGUGCUGACUGCUGUACCUGAACCAACAGAUAGGAGGUUAGGAUGGCGAGACCACAUCACAGCUCAGACCUGUUAGGAAGAAAAGUCUUAUCCAUGUGUAGCAAUAAAAAAAAUCUUUAUGAUCCACACUGUUCCCUACAGACCUAGAAGGACUUCAGGUAUUUUCGUAUCUCCUUCUCUUAACCUGCAAACAUUUGUUUUCUUCUGCUUCAAUGCAGAAAUAACCUUGAAGCAUCUCUUCUCUGUAGCAAAGUCUCAUUUGGAAUCUGCUUUGGACAUCAGAAUCGUGCCAAAAAUCCCAUGAAUUCCUUUGGCUCUUUGUGUCAAAAUAAAGUCACAGCAGGCCCCAGAUCAUCCAA
Molecule: long non-coding RNA, 2093 nt
Organism: Talpa occidentalis (Iberian mole)
Lineage: Eukaryota; Metazoa; Chordata; Mammalia; Eulipotyphla; Talpidae
Exons: 6
Source: RefSeq, a predicted model, not a curated record